AGUCGACGGUAACAGGCCUUCGGGUGCUGACGAGUGGCGGACGGGUGAGUAAUACAUGGGAAUCUGCCCUAGGGUGGGGGAUAACGUUGGGAAACUAACGCUAAUACCGCAUAACCUCUUCGGAGCAAAGCGGGGGAUCUUCGGACCUCGCGCCAAAGGAUGAGCCCAUGUCUGAUUAGCUAGUUGGUGGGGUAAUGGCCUACCAAGGCUUCGAUCAGUAGCCGGCCUGAGAGGGUGGACGGCCACACUGGGACUGAGACACGGCCCAGACUCCUACGGGAGGCAGCAGUGGGGAAUAUUGGACAAUGGGGGCAACCCUGAUCCAGCAAUGCCGCGUGUGUGAAGAAGGCCUGCGGGUUGUAAAGCACUUUUGUUGAGGAAGAAUGUGUUUGGGUUAAUAGCCCGAACACUUGACGUUACUCAAAGAAUAAGCACCGGCUAACUCCGUGCCAGCAGCCGCGGUAAUACGGAGGGUGCGAGCGUUAAUCGGAAUUACUGGGCGUAAAGCGUGCGUAGGCGGAUGUUUAAGUCUGUUGUGAAAUCCCCGGGCUCAACCUGGGAAUGGCAUUGGAUACUGGGCAUCUAGAGUGUGGUAGAGGGUAGUGGAAUUUCUGGUGUAGCGGUGAAAUGCGUAGAUAUCAGAAAGAACACCAAUGGCGAAGGCAACUACCUGGGCCAACACUGACGCUGAGGUACGAAAGCGUGGGGAGCAAACAGGAUUAGAUACCCUGGUAGUCCACGCCCUAAACGAUGUCGACUUGUCGUUGGGAGGGCUAAACCUUU
This 783-nucleotide ribosomal RNA is filed under the name uncultured bacterium. RNAcentral describes it as "bacterial SSU rRNA". It matches the Rfam family "Bacterial small subunit ribosomal RNA", at positions 60 to 840 of the family's 1533-position model. The record is from RNAcentral.